CCCCGCCGCCAGCCCCGCCCUCCUCUGGGCUCCCCGCCCACCGCCGCCCGCAAGCCCGCCCACACGCCUGGCCUCCAGGCUCGCCGAAGGCAGCUGGGGCGCAAAGCUGGUGCGCGGGACCUGGGGCACCCAAAGGCCGGGCCUUCCGAAGGGUGCUCGCGCGUCACUGCGCGUGCGUGAGCGCGCGGGGGUGGUGUGUUUGUGGCCUGGGGCGGCCGGCGUGUGCGCACGCGCGCCUGGUGGGGGCGGUGUUUUCUCUUUCAGCCCGCGGUUACCCGGGGGGAUGCCGGGAGUGAGGCCUUCCAGCGUCCACGCGGUCGGAACCAGAAGGGACUCCAGAUUCCACAUAUAAGCGAUCCUGGGCAUAUAUCUGGAGAAAACUAUAAUACAAAAAGAUACAUGCACCCCGAUGUUCACUGCAGCACUAUUUACAAUAGCCAAGACAUGGAAGCAACCUAAAAGCCCAUCAACAGAUGAAUGCAUAAAGAAGAUGUGGUACAUAUAUACAGUGGAAUAUUACUCAGCCAUAAAAAAGAACAAAAUAAUGCCAUUUGCAGCAACAUGGAUGGACCUAGAGAGUCUCAUACUGAAGGAAAAGAAGAGAGGAAAAGAGAGAGUUUGGGGGACAAAGAAUGACCAAGGCACAAGGUGACCUUUGGUCCCUGAAAGCUUCUCCUGCUAUGAGCUGUGCUGAGGCUGCUCGUAGAAAAUGUGUUUUUCCUGCACCAUGGAGCCAGUUCUCAACCAAAGAGGCAGUGAUCUGCUUCCGCGCUAGGGGGAAGAGUUGGCCGGUUGCGCUGACCGCUGACCAAGAGACUGUGGGCUUGUCUCCCAAUGGCAUCUUCCUAAGGAAAUGUGUUAAAACCAUGCCUCUCCCUUUGUUAUCCUUUUAAAUAGUUAACGCGUACAAAAUUAUAGCUGAAACCCUACGUAGGUUAUUAACCAACAACACCGCUGUGCUUUCCUCCACUAAUUUACCUUCUAUCCCCUGGCAGGAGAAGUCAUUGUACUGGAUUACAGGUUUAUUAUUUCCAUGCUUUAAAAAUUCUUUCAUUACAUAUGAUUGUAUGUUUAAUUAAACAGUACACUGCUUAGUUUUGUUGGUUUUUGAGAUUAAAGAU
Long non-coding RNA from Balaenoptera acutorostrata (minke whale), 1121 nucleotides. RefSeq lists it as uncharacterized. Lineage: Eukaryota; Metazoa; Chordata; Mammalia; Artiodactyla; Balaenopteridae. The transcript is spliced from 3 exons. The record is from RefSeq and is a predicted model, not a curated record.